UUAACAUGAAAGUCUGUGUGACUCUUCGUCUCCUCUCUUGUGUGUCUGUCUCCAGGAGCAGGACACAAGGGCCCAUCGGUCCCGGCAAGUAUGGCUACGGCAAGGCCCCGUACAUCUUACCCCUGCAGACGGACACCACACACACGCCACAGAGGCUUCGAAGACAGAGGCCCUCAUCCCGGCCGUCCAGGUCCCAGGGGACAUCUGCUACCAGACAUGGCUACAACCUGCCAGGGCCUCUGUACCAAAGUGAAAAUGGCCCUCGUUCUGGACAUCAGGCCUCAGAGGCCUCCAUUUACCAGCUGCCUUUGACUCAGGACCAAGGCUUCUCUGCAGCUUCCAGUCUCUUCCACAGCCCAGAAACAAGUAGCCGUGGUGUGGGGGCCCAUAGGACAGACCGGAGCUUCUCGCAGCCCCUGCGAUCUGCAGCUAUCUCAUGCAUCGGGGCCUAUCGGCAGUACAAGCUCUGCAACACCAACGCAUGCCCAGAAAGCAGUAGGAGUAUCCGCGAGGUGCAGUGUGCCUCCUACAACAACAAGCCGUUCAUGGGCCGGUUUUACGAGUGGGAACCGUUUGCAGAAGUAAAGGGCAAUCACAAGUGUGAGCUGAACUGCCAGGCAAUGGGCUACCGCUUCUAUGUGCGGCAAGCUGAGAAGGUUAUUGACGGCACCCCCUGUGACCAAAACGGCACAGCCAUCUGCGUGUCAGGACAGUGCAAGGGUCAGCCAACAGAUUCCAGCACUUGCUGAACAUCUAUCUACCUUGUGAUCAGGUAGGUGUCAAAUAUUCUUAUGUAAUCUCCAGCACAGCCCUCUGUGAUAGGGUUUAUUAUUGCAUUAGGGGAUUAAAUAGAGAAGUAGCUCUCUGUAUAUAGCUUAUUAAAUGGUGGGGCUAGGAUUGCUCUCUAUUCCUCAGACAUGCUGGGCGAUAACCAUUGUGCCCCAAGUUCCCACGGAGCAGAUCCUGGUCUCCCAAGCUGUUUUGCUCCAUCAUUCCCUGUACCACAAGCAGAUUGUGUUGGUUAUGACUUCCGGUGCCUCCAAAGGCCCUGUCAUUUCCUCUCCUGAUGUGUAAGUGCCCCUCCUGCUCACACCCCUUCCUCAGCCAUCACACUGAGAAGUGUGUUGGCCACUCCAGACACUGGCUUUCUUCUCCACCAGAAUACCUCCCUGUCUUUCUACUUUGCAGUCUUGACAAAACAGACUGGAGUUCUCUAAAAAACACAUCAGCCAAGAGCACCAUAAAGUUUAAGUACAUAUAGGGGUGGUGUAUUUUAUGCCAAGGAAUCUUAAAACCCAAAGGGACGAUGAUCAGUCCUCUGUUGGUAGAGAUCAGGAAGCUACAGACCAAAUGAAGUUAGUGGCUCAACUUCACACAGCAAUGCUGAAAGCUUGUUCUGUGAAGCAGACCCCACACCUAGAGCAGUGCUGGGUAGUAGCAGCAUUGCUCCUGUGGAACUGUGCUCACCUAGACAAGGAACUUUUACAGGAAGCAGUGUUGUCACUGGGCUCCCUGAGGCAUUCUGUACCAGCACCCACAGAGUCCUGCUCUGUCUGGGCUCUCCCAGGCACAGACCCACAAGAAUUAGCCAAAGACACUAGUGCCAGUGGUUCCCCCAGCAAGUGGCCUUAGCAGGGGGACAGCAGUAAGGGAGGGAAGUGACCCAGCAUAGCUGUGUUACCACACCAGUGGCCACCAUGGUCCUUGAGGUUCAAUCCUGCUGGAUUCCAUGUAGCACACAACUCAAAUUUAUGCAAUAAGAGGGCCAGGACACUGUGCAUAUGGCCCCCAGCUCCUGUUCCAGGAUCAGUGCAUGGUGAUUCUGGAAUCUUCCCUCUGCAGCAUUUCCAGCUGAUGUCUUCAAGGAAUAAGUCCCCAGGAAAAGUCACAAGUAUCUCCAGCAACCCCCAGUAGAGCAAUGUGGAAAGAAUAUAGCCUGCAAAGUCAGGGACAGGGGCACUCCCAAGGAUCCACAAGAGGAGGCUCCCUUGAAAGAAAGACAGAACACCAUGUUGUGUGCAUGCAUGCCUCUGUGUAUGUGUGUGUGUGUGUGUGUGUGUGUGUGUGUGUGUGUGUGUGCAUGUGCAUGCUUGACUUACCCACAAACUCACCUUGAUGACCCAUCAUGCUUGCCUCUUGCUUUUGGCAAUUUGGAAGCUCAGAACCAGUCUGUAGCCUCUGUCUAGCUAUUGGAAAGGCCUUAAUGGAAUGUAACCUUUGUACCAAACUUACCCUGCUUAUUUUUUUCAUUGGCGUAAAGUGAGUAUGAAUGAGCACAAAGACCAGUUAAGUUACCCAGUGAAAAGAGACCAAACUGAAACUAGUCAUAGCAUCAGCCACCUUGCUGUCCUCGGCUCCAGCUUUACAUAAAGAUUUUUUUUAAAUCAUGGAUUGCUGAUCUCCAUCAUGCAAGUGCUCACUGCAUGGGAAAAGCACAGAACUCUUACCCAUGCAUCAAGUUUUCAGGGAGUCAGCAGAGAGCUGCAAAUAAAGUAAAAUGCAUGUGUUCUUCAAAGAGGCCCCCAAACCAAUAUGUCUGUGAGCUCUGCAAUGCUGUGGAAUAGGAGACUCCUGAGUCAUGGAUGAUGUGAUAAGAAAUCCCUGAAGGCCAGGCUGCGUCCUGUCUUAAUGAAUUGGGAUUCAGGACCCUUUUGAUAACACAGAAAAUACAAAAAUAAGUGAAAGCGCCAGGGAUAUAGCUCAGCGGCACAAACGCCUGCCUGGCAAAUGCGAGGUCCUGAGUUUGAUUCCCAGUACAAAAAAAAAAAAAGUGAAAGCAAGGACCAGCAGAAGCAGUCUCCAGAACUUGUCAUAGUCUCUCGCUAAGGCUCCUGUAUAAAAUAUUUCUCCCUGUGCUUAAUUUUUGUUGAUUACAUUUUUUAUUGCUUACACAAUUUGGCAGAUUUUCUGUACUGAGCAUGUGUUAUUUUAAUAUGGGGAGGAAAUGGAAAAAUAUUUCAUCUCAUCUGAGUCUUUUUUUAUCAUAACAGCACCCGCUCCCCCAAAUGUCUUGGUUUCAAAAAAUAUGUUUGGCAAGAAAUACCCAGGGCAAAUCGUGGCCUGACUUUCAGAACCUAAGGUUAUGGUUGUUUUCUUCACUGGUCAGAAGCCCUGGAGAAAUGAAGAUUCUGUCCUCUGAUAUUCACAGAUGCGGGCCAGGCCCACGCUAUGUUUUUCCUUACCAUUUAGUUUCAUGUUUGAAGGGAAAUAUCAAACGAGGUGUCAGAGUUAAAAGGAAUGGGAAAAAGGCAGAGAAGAGGGAAGUGAGGUGAGGAUUUGGGGAAGGGAGGAAGGAAGGAAGAAAGGAAGGAAGGAAAGAAGAAGGAAGGAAGGAAGGAAGGAAGGAAGGAAGGAAGGAAGGAAGGAAGGAGGAAGGAACAGAGGGUGGGCAAGAGGGUAGGAAGAGAGAGAGAAACUUUAAAAACCUUAACUCCACUCUUGUUCCUUCCUUUCUUCUAAUAAUCAACAAUGCUGACUAUUUCUCAGAGUUAUUUAUUUAUAAUACCUUCAUUCUAAAAAGUGAUUUAAGUAACCUUUUUAAAAUUUACACAAGAAAAAAAAUUAGGGAGGAAAAUGGAGCAAAGAAGAACCUCGGGCAGAAGAAAAUAACACGUGUUUCAUUAAGACUGGGGUCAAAAAUCCAUGUGAUUAGGUCCUACUGGGAAGGGGUCAGAAAUUUUCUCUGAACCUCAUACUAGCAGAAGGAAAGGAACACAGUCAACUGUGGGGCUCACCGAACAACAAUAACAGAAAAUAAAUUCCUUAGGGGUGAGGCGUUGAGCGAGGUAGUUUGGGGAAGGAAACAAAGGGCGUAAAAGAUACCAGCCCCUUUGAGUCAGGAAGUCAGUGACACUAUGUAGGGUGAGGACAGACAGCAGUUCCUCCAAAUUGCUCAGCAGUUGAACAUGUCUUCCACACCUCGCACUCUCCUACCAGUGCAUUGACACAAGAACCCCACACGGCAAGCACAGCUGCUUGUGUUUUUACAGGAAGCUUUCUGCUUUACGGAAGGCUUUCCCGUGUGUGCUUCUUUUUUUGCAGUACUCUUCUGUGAGAGUAUUCUGUGAAAUUCUUCUUUCUGUGAGAUAAGAUCACACUGCCAAUCAUCGGCAAACCUGGAAUAGAAAUCAGAAGCUUUCAGAGACACCUCUCCUACUACUUCGUAAGAUAGGGCGCAGAACCGUGGUGAUAGAGAUAGGAACCUUUGGCUUUGAAG
This is a long non-coding RNA of Chinchilla lanigera (long-tailed chinchilla), 4216 nucleotides long. Lineage: Eukaryota; Metazoa; Chordata; Mammalia; Rodentia; Chinchillidae. The record is from Ensembl.